GCAGGGACGGGGCGCGCUCGGGGCUCGGUCACAUUCCGGGGCUCCGGUCCCUCUCCGGUUCCCGUCCCUCCAGUCCCACUCACAUCAUGCUUUAGCAACAAUAGCCCAUCACAUUCCCCAAAAUAGGAAUGCUUUACAUUAGGCACAAGAACUGUGACAACCUGGCUAGCUGUGCCAUGAAGCUGUGCUUCAGUAUUUUCCAAAACUGAAACCACAUAUUCUUCUUCAGCCAGCUGAACCUUGGUUUCCUGCAGAUCUUUCUGUGUUUCUUCCAGUUCUUUCUCCUUGAUCUGCUAAUCUGUUUUACACUGUUCAAGUUCAUUUUUACUGACUCAGGUCUUAAACCUAAACUACAGGUUUGUAUAGUCUUUGUAACAACUGCAAAUACCAAGCCAACACCAUUCUCACUGUAAUAAUUGUUUGCUUCUCCUCUCAAAACGUAAGAGCAAACGACCAUUACAGCACAAGGAAAAGAAUCCCAUUGAACAAACAUAACCAGAUAGACUGAGAAGAGCCAGUAAAACUGAUUACAUAGACCAGCAAAUUAAUAUCUACAUUUCUCUUCAACAAGCAGCUCCAAUUUUUGUGUCAUUUGUUAAAAGGAAGCGCAUCACCUCUCUCCCCAUAUUCUUUGUUCCUAAGCAGAUAGAUACCUGUCAGCUGAGAUAAUAUCAUUUUACAAGCAGAUUCUGUGCUGAAAAAUCAGCAAAAAAAUUAUAGUAAGAGACAUGAAAACAGCUUUAAAAAUAAGUACUGCAACAUGCAAUUUCACAUACAUUAUUUCAAAUUCCUGACUUCAAGGACUAGGAAGCUUCCAUUCUUAAUUAACUGGGGAACUUUAGCACCACCAACAACAAAAACAAUCUUCUGACUGUUCUUUCUUCAAACUUUUUUCCUCCUUUUGACAGGAGGAAUGAAUUUCUUCCAGUUUUUGGCAGCCACAGUUAAAAAACAUCACUUGCUCUUUUCACUUCUUCCUACAUGACACUGAUUUUUGUGAAUAUACUCUGUAAUUUGUUCUUCCUGGACUGUUAGCUUUCCACUAAGGGCUCUCAAGCAAGGAUUAAAAUAAAUGAACAAAUUAGUCAAGUAAGAGGUAGUUUCAAGAUUUACACUACAUUUUCAGUAAUUUUGGAAAAUUCUAUAUGAAUAGCAAGUGAUUUUCACUUAAGGCAGAGAAGAUUUUAGGCAAUUUUCCAUUGUAAACUUUCUGUGGAAACUAGCCCUAUUAAAAGUGAAGUAUAUCAAGUUUAGUUUCCUGUAUUAGCUUCCACUGAAAAAAAAAAGGCUGCAUGUGUAAAUCUCCAUGCUGGCUAAUGCUUAUGGUAAGUUCCAGAGAUACAAAAAUUUCUCAGUGCAAGCCUAUUAGAUUUUAUCUGUAUAAUCAUUAAUUUUGAAAGAACAAGUUGAGCAAACAGUUAAGUUUUCCUAACUAUCUUGAACUUUCUGGAUUAAAAAUAUAUCUGAAAGUAUUUCUGUAUAAGUAUAGGUAUCAGUAUCUGAGAUUUGUUGCUAAUUAUUUUAUAGAAAUUUUACAGACAUACUCAGAGGUUUCAACAGAAGGAUAGACUCCACUUUUCUCUCGAGCAGCAGCAAGGUCUCACUUCAGACCCUGAAUCUCUUCAAUGUAUUCCUGUAUAAAGAAAACCACAGGAGGACAUGCAGGGCUGGCUGCGGGCACUGGCACCAGCGCUCAGGAGCACACCGAGCUGGCCCGGUGGCAGCAGGGCCUCCUCACCACCUCCUCCCCCGGCGUGACCCCGAUGGAAAUGAACCCCCCAAAACCAUGAGCCCUGGAUGUGGGGUCCCGAGCCCCGAUUUUGGGGUCCAGGCCUACUCUAAUGUGGGGGUCCCAGCACCCCCUGAACCUUGGUUUUGUGUCCUGGCCACGCCCAAAACCUUAAAUUUGGGGUCCUGGUCUCCCCAAAAUCCGAGUUUGGAGUCCUGGCCACGCCCAAAACCUCAAUUUUGGGGUCCUGCCUCCCCCAAAACCCACAUUUUGGAGUUCCGGCCCCCCUUUCUCCCAGCACAAGCCAUAGAAAGCCGGGGGGGCCCCAGCAGUGCCGUUGUACAAAUGUAAUAAAGCACCCGCUGCACCCCAAAA
Zonotrichia albicollis (white-throated sparrow) is the source of this 2104-nucleotide non-coding RNA. The record is from RefSeq and is a predicted model, not a curated record. Lineage: Eukaryota; Metazoa; Chordata; Aves; Passeriformes; Passerellidae.